GACAUCGUGGCCGAGUGGUCAAGGCGGCAGCCUCGAAGCGGUUCGACCGAGCGUAGCUCGGAACUACAACCCAGUCAGCUGCUGGGGCAACCCGCGCAGGUUCGAAUCCUGUCGAUGUCG
RNAcentral lists this transfer RNA (120 nucleotides) under Chlorella variabilis. It matches the Rfam family "tRNA". From Rfam's summary of the family: Transfer RNA (tRNA) molecules are approximately 80 nucleotides in length. Their secondary structure includes four short double-helical elements and three loops (D, anti-codon, and T loops). Lineage: Eukaryota; Viridiplantae; Chlorophyta; Trebouxiophyceae; Chlorellales; Chlorellaceae. The record is from Rfam by way of RNAcentral.